RNAcentral lists this ribosomal RNA (536 nucleotides) under Rhodanobacter sp. RNAcentral's name for it is "bacterial SSU rRNA". It matches the Rfam family "Bacterial small subunit ribosomal RNA", at positions 199 to 730 of the family's 1533-position model. The record is from RNAcentral. Lineage: Bacteria; Pseudomonadati; Pseudomonadota; Gammaproteobacteria; Lysobacterales; Rhodanobacteraceae.
CUCGCAAGACCUCGCGCGGUUGGACGAACCGAUGUUCGAUUAGCUAGUUGGUAGGGUAAUGGCCUACCAAGGCGACGAUCGAUAGCUGGUCUGAGAGGAUGAUCAGCCACACUGGGACUGAGACACGGCCCAGACUCCUACGGGAGGCAGCAGUGGGGAAUAUUGGACAAUGGGCGCAAGCCUGAUCCAGCAAUGCCGCGUGUGUGAAGAAGGCCUUCGGGUUGUAAAGCACUUUUAUCAGGAGCGAAAUGCCAUGGGUUAAUACCUCGUGGAGCUGACGGUACCUGAGGAAUAAGCACCGGCUAACUUCGUGCCAGCAGCCGCGGUAAUACGAAGGGUGCAAGCGUUAAUCGGAAUUACUGGGCGUAAAGGGUGCGUAGGCGGUUCGUUAAGUCUGUCGUGAAAUCCCCGGGCUCAACCUGGGAAUGGCGAUGGAUACUGGCGAGCUAGAGUGUGUCAGAGGAUGGUGGAAUUCCCGGUGUAGCGGUGAAAUGCGUAGAGAUCGGGAGGAACAUCAGUGGCGAAGGCGGCCAUCU